AUCCAGUUCAGUUGCACAACACCUAAACCAAGAUGCAAUUCUAAUGCUGAAUUCCAGCUCUUCAGAAACGGAUCAUCUGUAUCCUCACAGACACAUGAAUCUAGUGUGACUUUCAACUUUGUUAAUGUAGACGUCUCACAUCAGGGCAGCUACAGCUGUCGUUACUCUUACCAAAACAACAACAAGUCACCUAUGAGCAACACUGUAUUCAUCACUGUGGUGAACUUGCAGCAGCCCAGUAUUUCCAAAAGUGCUCCUGAUGGAUGGGUUGAUGAGGGGCCUCAGGGGCCAGUGAUCACCAGGGGUCACAGUUUCACUAUCACCUGUUCAACUCAAUCUCAGUUUCCUGGAGGAUCUUUUCACCUGUUCAGAGGAUCAGACAUCACCAGGACUGAGUCAGCUGUCAGUCACUCUGCUUCCUUCUUCUUUCCUGAGGCAGAUUUUUCACACGAGGGAAACUACAGUUGUGUUUAUGAAGUCAGUGUGUCCUCACGCUCCUUCCGUUCAUCUGCCUCCGAACUGCUGCCUUAUCACUAUUAUAGUGAACUUGCAGCAGCCCAGUAUUUCCCACAGUGCUUCUGAUGGAGGGUUGAUGAGGGGCCUCAGGGGCCAGUGAUCACCAGGGGUCACAGUUUCACUAUCACCUGUUCAACUCAAUCUCAGUUUCCUGGAGGAUCUUUUCACCUGUUCAGAGGAUCAAGCAUCACCAGGACUGAGUCAGCUGUCAGUCACUCUGCUUCCUUCUUCUUUCCUGAGGCAGAUUAUUCACACGACGGAAACUACAGUUGUGUUUAUGAAGUCAGUGUCUCCUCACGCUCCUUCCGUUCAUCUGCCUCUGAACUGCUGCUCAUCACUAUCACAGCCUCCCUGCUUCCUGUCAUUGGUGCUGCAGUGUCAGCUGUGCUGCUCUUAUUGUCUGUCCUCAUAAUCAUCCUCCUGCUGAAGAGAAGACAAAAGCAAAGGAACAAGAAAAUGCAUUCAAAGUGCUCUUUCACAAAAG
Long non-coding RNA from Cyprinus carpio (common carp), 1000 nucleotides. RefSeq lists it as uncharacterized. The transcript has 4 exons. The record is from RefSeq and is a predicted model, not a curated record. NCBI's taxonomy places the organism in Eukaryota, Metazoa, Chordata, Actinopteri, Cypriniformes, Cyprinidae.